UCUCCGUUGGUGAACCAGCGGAGGGAUCAUUACAGGAUCGAAAGACUCCUAUAACCCCUGUGAACCUACUACAAAUACGUUGCUUCGGCGGGUGCCCCGGGUCUCCCGGGGCGUUCAGCCCGCCGGCAGCCUUCAAAUUCUGUUUCUUUGCGUUGGCAUCUCGAGUAUACAAAAAUAAGUUAAAACUUUCAACAACGGAUCUCUUGGUUCUG
RNAcentral lists this unclassified non-coding RNA (212 nucleotides) under plant metagenome. RNAcentral describes it as "partial contains small subunit ribosomal RNA, internal transcribed spacer 1, and 5.8S ribosomal RNA". The record is from RNAcentral.